GAGUGUAGUUCAAUGGUAGAACUCCAGCUUCCCAAGCUGGUGGCGCGGGUUCGAUUCCCGUCACUC
Molecule: transfer RNA, 66 nt
Filed under: uncultured Aquiluna sp.
Lineage: Bacteria; Bacillati; Actinomycetota; Actinomycetes; Micrococcales; Microbacteriaceae
Rfam family: tRNA
About the family: Transfer RNA (tRNA) molecules are approximately 80 nucleotides in length. Their secondary structure includes four short double-helical elements and three loops (D, anti-codon, and T loops).
Source: RNAcentral